CGCAAGCCUGACGGAGCAAGACCGCGUGCGGGAUGACGGCCUAAUGGUUGUAAACCGCUUUUCUCUGGGAAGAUGAUGACGGUACCAGAGGAAUCAGCCUCGGCUAACUCCGUGCCAGCAGCCGCGGUAAUACGGAGGAGGCAAGCGUUAUCCGGAAUUAUUGGGCGUAAGGCGUCCGUAGGUGGUUAUUCAAGUCUGCUGUCAAAGCGUGGGGCUUAACUCCAUAGAGGCAGUGGAAACUGGAUGACUUGAGUGCGGUAGGGGUCGAGGGAAUUCCCAGUGUAGCGGUGAAAUGCGUAGAUAUUGGGAAGAACACCAGUGGCGAAAGCGCUCGACUGGGCCUGCACUGACACUGAGGGACGAAAGCUAGGGGAGCG
RNAcentral lists this ribosomal RNA (377 nucleotides) under uncultured cyanobacterium. RNAcentral describes it as "bacterial SSU rRNA". It matches the Rfam family "Bacterial small subunit ribosomal RNA", at positions 376 to 770 of the family's 1533-position model. The record is from RNAcentral. Lineage: Bacteria; Bacillati; Cyanobacteriota.